Molecule: long non-coding RNA, 4790 nt
Organism: Cuculus canorus (common cuckoo)
Lineage: Eukaryota; Metazoa; Chordata; Aves; Cuculiformes; Cuculidae
Exons: 8
Source: RefSeq, a predicted model, not a curated record
UGCUCUCCCUGGCACCGCGGUCUGCUCAUCCCGAGAGAGACAGAGCUUUGGUAUCAUGACUGCGAUCCCAAUAUAGCAACUGAGGAAAGGCAGGAAGGACGUACCCUUCCCGGAUACUGUAAAGGCUUUAUCUGACCCUGUUCACCGCGAGCUUUACCCAGACUUUGCAGCAAGUGAUGUGCAGUGGUGAUGUGGAAGGAGAAGACAUCGAGAUGUUACCCCUCCUGGAGCCCAGCCUUCGUAAGGUUGCUCUCUGGCACUCUGCUCGAGAGCGUGGAAGAGAACAGACUCCAGAUUCCAACACUGACUGAAAUGAGUGUUUUCCCCUUGGUGAGGAAUCUGCUUCUUCCUAAUUCCUUUUCAAUACCUGCCAAAAUGAGAAGAAAAAUCAAAAGCAUCGUACCGUCUCCACCACUUGAAGAAUGUGAGGCACCCCCUGCCCAGAGCUGAGACACAGCUAUUGGGAACUGCUCCAAACCACUCAAUAACACACGAGCUCCAUUUCUUCACGGGACAAGCAAACUCCAAAUAAAAAGUAGGAUAUUUUUAACCUGCCUUUUUCCAAGAAGAUGGCAACUGGGAACAUUUUAUUUAUUCUUUAAAGCCUUUUGGAAGAAAAGGAUAGGAAGGCGAUGCCUGGGACAGCUCUCGUAUGAAGGACGCCAGCUUGGACAGACAUUUCAGCAGAGCUGGAUUUGGUGAGCCCAGGACGGUCCUGCUCCCUGAGGCUGCUUUGAAUUGUCUUCCUGGAGAGAACAAGUCGAGGCAUUAUCCCACCCUGGUGCCAGGGUCAGGAUUCCCUUCUCCAGCCACUUCUUUCUCCCUUGGAAGACAUGUAAGCAGAAAUUUCAGGACUGAAGAGAGUUAGAAAUUCCAGCAGAAGAAAGACAAAAUUCCCCAUCACCACCUCCCUUCAUAUCCUCCAAACUGGGGAGGUUGCUAAGUGACAGCAUUUCUGCUCUCACUAACUCCCUAUGAGAACCUGAGCACUUAGAAGCAAGAAAAUGGCUAUUUAAGGACAUGAUAACUCCUGUUCUUUGGUAGCGACCAACAAGCUGUUUGCUGAAGACUGAGGAUAUUUUCACCCAGAAGUUAAGUUUGGAGAAGUGUCUUGGUGUUUCAGCCACGAGUGAUGAGGAGAAGCAGGGGCAAACUCCUGGGGUGGAACACGCUCAUCAGGCCUGAAGCAGCCAAGGCGAUGCUUUCCUCAGCAUCUCUGCCACUAGUCGGUUCUUCCUAUCUUUCUAACUCUACCAGAUGCAUCCUCUGAAGCUGAAAUCACACAGUGGGUUGGGAGCACUAAUGAAAAACGUCACUGCAUCUCAGCCUCAAGCCCAUGAACUCAGCCUGGGACAUCACCGUGGUCCCCCAGUGGCCACCCCCAGCCACUCUUCCUCUCCAGGCAGCAUUUACUUGGGCAGAUUUCAGCUCCUUACACCUCCAAACCAGUUUUGUGCAUCGGUAUUUUGAAGGAGUCACCUUUUGGGGAUGGAAUGUCACUUAAGGUGAGCAGCGUUCUGCAAUCAAGUGGUAGUGGCAAGGAAUGCUUUCCAAGCAGAUGGAAACAAGGAUCUUGCUGGGACAGGCAUCUCUCCCACCAUCCUCUCUACCUGCACUUGCAUUUUGAGGGGUUUUGUUGUUGUGGGGUUUUUUCACCCUUGCUUAUUUAUCUGGCAGCAUUUGCUGAGCCUAGUCCUGAGAUGCAGCAGUGUUCAGGAAGUCCCUGUAGGCAUCUGGGGUGGGGAAAGGUAAUUAAGGGGAAAUGCACCAAUUCCCCAUGGAGUUGCCUCUGAUUUUAGAUGCUUCCAAACGCCCAGGUCAGUGCCCAGAGCAGUUGAGAGGAAUUGGAAUAAGCAAUUUGGGGGUGCAAUGGGCACAUGGAAAAGAAGCACAACCCUUAGUAGCUAUGAGAGAGCGCACAGCGGGACUCAGACCUGCUGAUGGACUUCGCAGAGGUGGUGGGUGCAGGUGAGCCAGGGGCAGCUCUUGCUGCGUGCUUCUCUGUGUCUCUCAGGUCACGUUCCCUCUCUUGAGCUCCCUGGAGAACUCCCAGCUCCAUAAAUCAGUAGUUGGAUUACACUGAUCUGGAAACAGUAUUUUUUGUUUCCUCCACUACAGAUAGAACUCAGAGAACCCUCCUCAUUGACUAAGUAAUCCCAAGACCAUUUGAUAGCAGCCAGCAGCGCGAUGUAAGCAGCAAUUGCCCUCGUUUUGUUUAACCAUGUGUGCAGGAAAGACGGGAAAGGUGGCGUGUCUACGUAUACCACCCCACCCUCCGAGCUAAGUCAGGACGAUGUUUAUUAAUCUGCUCAGUGGGAUCCUACCAGGCAAAACAUGUUUCAUUGUUGAAACAGAAAGAAAUGGGCUCCCAAGAACAAGCAAUAUUGUUUACAUGGCAUUGAUCAGCACAGAGCUUUUGCUGGCUCAGCAGUCUGAACCCCUGGUUUUCAUCAGUGGAGUGCUUAACCCGUGGCUAAUUGGAUUUGCCAUCGUUAGUGUGAUCUAUGUUGCCUCCAAUUACUCUUUGCAUGGCCCCGGCUGAGCACCCACCACUUUCAACAGGGACAGAGAUCCAAAAGACCGGAACCCCUGCAAGGUCAGGGAGCAAAAGCAUCCUGGCGUGUUGGGACAUCAGUGCCUGCUAAAUGAUGCCAACAACGCUGGAGCUGGAGUUGAGCGGAAGUUUGGGCCGAGGAAGGAUUUUAUUUGCUCUAAGGUGGGUGUAGUUUUCACUGUGCUAAAUGGUAUCUUGUAAAGAACAGAAUUAAACCCUGUAAAUCCAGGGAGGGCAACAGAGGGUGUGUGAAAAUUGGCUGUGAUUAAUUAAUUAGAAGUGAAUUAUUAUUUCAUUAAUUAGGAUGCAGCUGAGACUGCAGCCCUGAGACUACAUAGUCACAGGCUUCCCAGUGGGGGAUGGAUGUAUUAGUGCCAAGGUAAACUGAGGCGUAGAUGGAUUAAGUUAUUUUGCAGGGCCACUCAGGGAAGCUUUGUGUGACCGCGGUUCUGCAUCCCGUCCCUGUCAUGUGGGAUCAUGAUAGAGAUGCUCUUUCCAUCCCUUGUCUGGUCUUCCCAGUUGCAUUCCCAUUUAAGCCAUUUUUCUCUUGAGGCUUGGCUGGUUUCUUCCACCACGGAGGUCCCCGUUCUGUGGAGCAUUUCCUACUUUGGAAUUCAAUGAAGAAACAGAAUGACAACGAAAAGAAGCCGUAAAACUCACUUUUCAGGGAAUGAGGAUCCAUGAUUUUUCUUGCUUGGCAAAAGGCUUUUUUUCCCCAUGGACUGGCAGCAAAACACCACUGAGUGUUUUGGCCCCAGAAGUGUGGACAUCCCAGGUACUCAGCUGCACCUCAAAAGCCAAAUAUUUGGGAAGCGAUUUCUCCCGUGGCAGGUAGUCUCCGCCAGGGAAAGCGAGUGGACUCAGCCACAUGCAGGCCCUUACAGCCUUGUUUUCAGUCGCGGCAAAGAGAAACCCUUUAAUCAGACAUAAUGCAGAGCCUCAACAGAUGGGUAAUUGGGUGCUCUUUGCUGAGCCAUGUCACGGGAGGUUAGACAAGAUGCUCUUUCGUGACCUUUAAAUCCAUGAACUAACAAAAUUGGGGCCUUCCUUUGGCCGUGCUGCUGGGCUCAUUUUCAUUUCACCGACUCAGCCCUGAGGGGAAUGAUUUCCUGCAGUUUGCUCCAGUCACACGGGUGGGAAUGUGCCCAGCCUGGGGCAGCACCGGGGGGGUGACCCAGGGCUUGUCCUCCUGGUGGUUCAGCUCCGGCUGAUGCCAAGGCAUUUGCUGGCACUGCCAGGCGAGACCCAGCGAUGCCACAUCCCCCGUCCAACUCAGCAAAGUGGGCUGAGCGUGCUGAAGGAGACGAGGAGCGCGUGGCCGCUGCGAUGGAGGGCGAUCGCUGCCCACCGAGGGGUGCGCUGAGUGCCCGGCUGGUGCUUUGCCCGUGCAGCAGAGUCGGGCAGGGCAGGCAGCAGGUGCUGGUGGUGGUCCCAGCUUUUCCCAUUCCCAUUCCCUGCUACCACUCGGGAAGCCUGUCCUCAGCUCAGGUCUGUGGAAGAGAACAUCUCUCCUCUUUGCCCAGAGAUAUCUUUGCUGAGCUCGGCAAAACCACAGCCAAGAGCCCACAGAAAUAAUAGUGCAAUUACCAAAGUAAUUAUCCUGGCUGCUGUGCAAAUCCUGCCCAGUUAAUGUUGGGGUUGGGAAGAGGGCACAGCUCGCCGAGAAGUGCUUGUUAUUACUUGUAUUCCCAGAAAAUAAAUCUCAGUUGGGAAUAUCCGUCCACCGCUGUGAUGUGGGGCAGCUGCAGGACCACAAAGGGUGGCUGUGGCGUGAUGGGGUGAGUGUGGAUGGCAAAGCGGUGGGGUCUGCUACAGAUCCUUGGGAUUUGUUGUCACUGUCCCCAUCCGAGUGGGACAGAAUUGCACCUGGAGGGGACCCAGCUGGAGCCAUCUCAAAGGGAACACAGUGGGGAUGGACUGGGGAAAAAGGGCCCUGACAGCUGUUGCCGAUCGAGAGAAAAACUAAGGAAUGAGAAAAUGAUGGGGGAGAUUAUAAAUGAUAGGGGAGAAAAUGAUGGGGGAGAUAGGAAGGCCAAAUGUGUCUUGGACUGCGUCAAAAGCAGUGUGGCCAGCAGGGUGAGGGAAGUGAUUCUGCCCCUCUUUUCCUCUCUUGUGAGACCUCAUCUGGAGUAUUGUGUCCAGUUCUGGAACCCUCAAUGUAAGAAGGAGGUGGAGCUGUUGGGGAGGAGGCUACAAAGAUGAUCCGAGGGCUGGAGCACCUCCCAUGUGAGCACAG